This 1404-nucleotide long non-coding RNA is filed under the name Gallus gallus (chicken). Its description in RNAcentral is "long non-coding RNA NONGGAT000987". The record is from RNAcentral. Lineage: Eukaryota; Metazoa; Chordata; Aves; Galliformes; Phasianidae.
CCAGUAUCCCUGUAUCAGCACAGCUAGAGAUACUUACAUGUGCUUGUAAAGUGGGAUAAACAGUUCUAGUGGUUCAAAGCUGGAUUAAAAUCUUCUUUUUCAUUUACCUAUCUUUACCUCAUUCAGCAUUUAGUAGAUGCGUAUUACAGAGUGCAUACAUGCCCUACUAAUCCUCAUUUUCCACCACUUCAAAGUGACAACGUCGAAUCCCUUUCACACGCCAUAACUAUGCUCAGUAUCUUUGAAAACUUUCUUGAUUUUGAAAUAACCAAAAGUAGAAAAUUAUUUACUCACAGAUGUGCCUUCUAAGUACUUCCAUGUCAAUGUGUUACUCUUUUGGAAGACUGUCAGUAUUCUAUCCAGUGGGGUUAUUUUCACUUUUUUCUUUUUCAAAGACAAAAUCCGGUGCAUAUGUUGUCUCUAAACAUGUCUGCAUUUAAUAUUGCAUUUAAUACCACCUACAGUGAUACCACUGAAGUCUACAGAUAAAGUAUAUCAAUGAUAAAUAAUGCCCCUUCCAAAGAAGUUCGGUUGAAAACAUUCUCAGUUUUUAUUGUUUACUGUUCCUCAGAUACAGCAAAAUGCAAGAAACAACUUUUUUCAGCUCCUAGAGAGGUGGUAUUUGCUUUUGCUUUCCAUCAUAGAAACAUGUUUACUUUUCUUCAUAGAAAUAUUAGUGAAGAAUUGAGCACAUGAAGAGUUUGGCAUGUUUAGCUUCAUAAUUUUCUCAGAAAAGAGAAAGAUAAAAGCAAAGGAAAUGUUCACGCCCUUCCACAAACCUGCUGUCAUUUUCCUCAUCCUUGUUCCAAACACCAGCAGACAACAUUCCACAGUGAUCACACAGUGACAAAGCCUUUAAACUUAGUAUAUCAAAAUGUAAGACUUUGGUAGUGUUACCAUGAGCUAACUCACAGUCACAUUUUUGAGAGUCCUUAUUUAAGAGCAAACCUCAAAUAAGGACACCUGCCUUCACACUUGUUUUAUUUACCUUGGAACAAUUUAAUUUGAAUUUUCUUGGCUUCAGUCAAAUUAUAAUGUAUGAUGAAUUGGUUUAGGUUGAGGGCUAUGAUAUUACUGCAUGCAUUUCAAAAUUACUUUCUGGCCGUCUUGUCAAAGGAGCAAAACUUGUCUGGAGAUGAAGAAACAGAUGAUGAUGAUGAAGAUGAAGAAGCAGCAGCAGUAGAAGAAGAUGUGGAAGAAGAAGCAGUUGAAGAAGAAGAAGAGGAAGAAGAGGGAGAAGAUGGAGAAACAGAAGCAGAAGAAACAGUAAAAGAAGAAAUGGAGGAAAAACACGAAGUAGAGAAACAUAGUAAAACACCUGAGGGAGAGAAAAAUGAUAAUAGCACAGUGGAAACUGUAGAGACAGAAGAGACUACUCAGAAAGAGACCAUCAUUCAGCAGGGU